This 837-nucleotide ribosomal RNA is filed under the name uncultured sediment archaeon. RNAcentral's name for it is "bacterial SSU rRNA". It matches the Rfam family "Archaeal small subunit ribosomal RNA", at positions 517 to 1353 of the family's 1478-position model. The record is from RNAcentral.
AUCNGUAGCNUGAUCUAUAAGUUUCCGGUUAAAUCCACAUGCUCAACAUUUGGGCUGCCGGAAAAACUGUAGAUCUAGGGGGUGGGAGAGGUAGACGGUACUCGGUAGGAAGGGGUAAAAUCCUUUGAUCUAUUGAUGACCACCAGUGGCGAAGGCGGUCUACCAGAACACGUUCGACGGUGAGGGAUGAAAGCUGGGGGAGCAAACCGGAUUAGAUACCCGGGUAGUCCCAGCUGUAAACGAUGCAGACUCGGUGAUGCAUUGGCUUGUGGCCAGUGCAGUGCCGCAGGGAAGCCGUUAAGUUUGCCGCCUGGGAAGUACGUACGCAAGUAUGAAACUUAAAGGAAUUGGCGGGGGAGCACCACAAGGGGUGAAGCCUGCGGUUCAAUUGGAGUCAACGCCAGAAAUCUUACCCGGAGAGACAGCAGAAUGAAGGUCAAGCUGAAGACUUUACCAGACAAGCUGAGAGGUGGUGCAUGGCCGUCGCCAGCUCGUGCCGUGAGAUGUCCUGUUAAGUCAGGUAACGAGCGAGACCCUUGCCUCUAGUUGCCACCAUUGCUCUCUGGAGCAGUGGGGCGAAUUAGCGGGACCGCCGCAGUUAAUGCGGAGGAAGGAAAGGGCUACGGCAGGUCAGUAUGCCCCGAAACUCUGGGGCCACACGCGGGCUGCAAUGGUAGUGACAAUGUGUUCCAAACCUGAAAGGGGGAGGUAAUCAUCAAACGCUACCACAGUUAUGACUGAGGGCUGCAACUCGCCCUCACGAAUAUGGAAUCCCUAGUAACUGCGUGUCAUUACCGCGCGGUGAAUACGUCCCUGCUCCUUGCACACACCGCCCGU